GCCAAAGACACUUAGAAAGGACAUUUCUGGA
This 31-nucleotide non-coding RNA is filed under the name Rattus norvegicus (Norway rat). Lineage: Eukaryota; Metazoa; Chordata; Mammalia; Rodentia; Muridae. The record is from RNAcentral.